UUUAUGGAGAGUUUGAUCCUGGCUCAGGAUGAACGCUGGCGGCGUGCCUAAUACAUGCAAGUCGAGCGAACAGAUAAGGAGCUUGCUCCUUUGACGUUAGCGGCGGACGGGUGAGUAACACGUGGGUAACCUACCUAUAAGACUGGAAUAACUCCGGGAAACCGGGGCUAAUGCCGGAUAACAUGUUGAACCGCAUGGUUCUACAGUGAAAGACGGUCUUGCUGUCACUUAUAGAUGGACCCGCGCCGUAUUAGCUAGUUGGUGGGGUAACGGCCUACCAAGGCGACGAUACGUAGCCGACCUGAGAGGGUGAUCGGCCACACUGGAACUGAGA
RNAcentral lists this ribosomal RNA (334 nucleotides) under Staphylococcus pseudintermedius. RNAcentral's name for it is "bacterial SSU rRNA". It matches the Rfam family "Bacterial small subunit ribosomal RNA", at positions 1 to 324 of the family's 1533-position model. The record is from RNAcentral. Lineage: Bacteria; Bacillati; Bacillota; Bacilli; Caryophanales; Staphylococcaceae.